AUAUAAGUCCCCCCCUUCCCAUUUUAUUCUACAUUUGGUCACUUUAUCUCCUAUUUUCUCUUCUUGGCCGAAAUCUGUCUUUCCAUUUAAUCUCCAUUUAAUUUUUUUUCCAACUUUUCUUUCAUUCUUCCAUUUUUGAGCCCUCCUUCCAAUCCUACUCUUUUCCUUUCAAGACACUCUUUCCCCUUGCUUUCUUUUCUACAUGGUCGAAUCCUUCCCUCUUUAACCGGUCUUCAAUGGCCUUCAAUUCACAUUCACUCACUUGCUAUUCAAAGAAUCCUUCCAAGCUUGCUCUACCAUUCAAACUCCCUCAUUCAUUUUAGCUAGACAUGGCCGAAUCUUCCCCAUUCAGUUCAGCUCAUUAUGGCCGAAAUAUACCUCUCUUUGACUUGUUUUUAAAUGGCCUUCAAUCCCAUUCAAUAAUUGCCCAUCUAAAAAUCCUUCCAAGCUUGCUCUUUCUUUAAUAUGAUCACAUUGAUUUAAGCAAGGGGAGAUGAUGAAUUUGGCCAGCAUUAGAGGAAAAGAGGGGCAGCUGCAAAAAGAAAGAAAGAAAGGAAGAAAGACUACUACAUCAACGACUUUCCCGUCUUGCGAUAAUUUUCUGGUCUUACACUUCCCUUCCAACUUUACAUUCCUCCAUUCAUUACUCAUUCAUAAUUUAGCUGAAAAUACAAAAGAAGGAGGCCAAGAAUUCGGCCAAAUUCUGCUGGGGAAGAGAAAGAGGAAGCUUAUUAAGAUUUUCCCGGUUUUUGUACAACUUUCCGAUAAAAAACCUUUCUUUCCUCUCUUGCCCGAAACCCUCAUUGAUUCACAGAUCCAUUCAACAAGUUUGAACAUAGGGAGAACGGAAGGAGAAGAAGAAGAGAAAAGAGGAAUUGGUCCAAGGAAAGAGCUGCAGAAGAGAGAGCAGAGAAAAACCGUUAUUGUCGGAAAAACGCCGUUUUUCGGCGACCGCCCAUCCAUCUUCACCCAAGCCCCAAAAAAACUACAUACCCCACCUACUUUUGACCUUCCAAGUCCAUUGGUGGUGUUAGUUUUUCCAUUUGAGGUCUCCUUCCCAUCAUUCCAGCACUGUCCAGAUUCGGGUGUCCCCCGAGUUUUCCCAAUUCCUAGGUGUUUUCUUCAUCCCGACUUAUCCUGAACACAAAACAAACUACAUGCCUACUAGUUUUCAACCUCCCGAGUCCAUUGGUAAGGUUGGUUUCUCCAUUUGAGGCCUCCAACAUCUCGUUCCAGCAGUUUCCAGAACCAGAUCCCUAGGUGUUUUUCCGGUUUCACGACGAGUUCGUCCCUUCCACGACCAAGGCGAAUCAACCAACGACCCGUGGACCCAUGAGCCAUCUCCAGCCACGUUCCAAGGUCAAACAAGAUCUUUGCUUGUCGAAUGCCGCCCAUCACCAUGUUUAGGGGUCCCUGGGAGUGAAGAACCCUCGUGCCUACUCCAAGAAAAUGCCCCGAGCUUCCUUGAGACCCGCUUUUCUCUCUCGGGUCUGUUUGUCUCUAGUAGGGUCUAUUUUAUGCUAACCGGUUUAUUUUCUUGCAAUUUCGAGUCACCACAGGUUUUGGUUCGCUGCGAGCCACCCACAACCAUAUUCAUGAGUCCCUUGGCGAUCCCGAACCACCAUGCUAACUCCGAGAAAACUCCUCGAAAAUCCUUGCUUUUGUUCAUGUGCCAAUCGGAUCUAUUUCUCCCAAUCGGGUCACCUGAUUGACCCGAUUGGUUCUUCCUUCUCCCGAGACAUUUUCCGACUUAGUUUUUCGUCCCGAGGCACAGGUAUAACUUUGUUACGAUUUAGAGGAUCUAGGUCUUUUAAUUUUCAAGUAUUAUGGGGUGAUAAGGCGAUCCCAUACUGAUUUCCAUGCAUGUUUCAGUAUGAACCGGUAUUGUUUUAUUGAUUCCGUUAAAUCUCAUAUUGUUAUGCAUGCUUGAAUGUUUGUUUGAAAUUUACGAGAUUAUGGCGGCA
Punica granatum (pomegranate) is the source of this 1964-nucleotide non-coding RNA. Lineage: Eukaryota; Viridiplantae; Streptophyta; Magnoliopsida; Myrtales; Lythraceae. The record is from RefSeq and is a predicted model, not a curated record.